Molecule: small RNA, 28 nt
Filed under: Bombyx mori (domestic silkworm)
Lineage: Eukaryota; Metazoa; Arthropoda; Insecta; Lepidoptera; Bombycidae
Description: ovarian small RNA-13349
Source: RNAcentral
CAGUCGGUUCUUCACGCAGAUGGCGUUG